Long non-coding RNA from Meriones unguiculatus (Mongolian gerbil), 313 nucleotides. RefSeq lists it as uncharacterized. The record is from RefSeq and is a predicted model, not a curated record. Lineage: Eukaryota; Metazoa; Chordata; Mammalia; Rodentia; Muridae. The transcript is spliced from 3 exons.
CAUUGUGACACCUAUCCACUUAAGGCUCUGGCUGAGCCUGCUUCCUGUCUUACAGAGCAGAAGCUCUUGGUUGGAGAGAGACUGGACUUCUGCACUCUUGACAGAUUAUACUCCCACUUUUACAAGCCGUUUUGACCACCAUACAAGCAGAAACUCUUGUUGUUGGAGAGCAACUGGCCUUCUGCGCUCUUGACAGAUUAUACUCCCACUUUCACAAGCAGUUUUGAACACCAUAUACAGAAGCUCUUGUUGGAGAGCGACUGGACUUCUGCGCUCCGCUCCUGACACACAUACUUGGACUUACUAAGAACUU